GAUGAAGAACGCAGCGAAAUGCGAUAAGUAGUGUGAAUUGCAGAAUUCAGUGAAUCAUCGAAUCUUUGAACGCACAUUGCGGCCAUAGGUAUUCCUUUGGCCAUGCCUGUUCGAGCGUCAUUUACACCCUCAAGCCUAGCUUGGUGUUGGGCGUCUGUCCCGCCGUUCUCGCGCGCGGACUCGCCUCAAAGUCAUUGGCGGCGGUCGUGCCGGCCCCCUCGCGCAGCACAUUUGCGCUUCUCGGAGGCCCGGCGGAUCCGCGCUCCAGCAAGACCUUUCACGACUUGACCUCGGAUCAGGUAGGGAUACCCACUGAACUUAAGCAUAUCAAUAAGCGGAGGA
RNAcentral lists this unclassified non-coding RNA (342 nucleotides) under soil metagenome. RNAcentral's name for it is "partial contains 5.8S ribosomal RNA, internal transcribed spacer 2, and large subunit ribosomal RNA". The stretch from base 1 to 120 matches the Rfam family "5.8S ribosomal RNA", at positions 35 to 154 of the family's 154-position model. The record is from RNAcentral.